GGGAGGAGUUGGGGCGGUACCGGCUCCCUGGCUGCCCAGCGCCGGGCUGGGCCGGGGGGGAGGGGUGGGGGGGAGGCAGGAUGUUGGUUUUAGUUUUGUUCCCGGCUGUACCCCUGGAGACGUAACUCAGGGCUGAACACACAAAACCGGCCCACAGCGGAUGGAGGCGGGACAGGGCCUGUGGCGCCUCCCGGCACCUCCCCCUGGCAUGGACACGGCGGAGGCAGCGCUGUGAGGGGAGACCGUGGCGGCGGCGCGGUCUGGUGUUCAGCAUGUGCACCGGCAUUUGUAGGCUGUGUUUUUGCCUUGCUGCUGGCGUGGGGACAGACAGAACAGCUCUGUGAUGGCCCUGCGAGCUAUGGAGUAGUAGCAGGGUUUCCGCCAUCUGAAAUUCAGUACUCCCUAGAAAGUUGUCUUGGAACCAGAUAGAAAACAAGCAGUGAGUACCAACCAUUGAAAGUGCAUAUUCUGGUGAUUCAAAGUAAAGCCUUUUCUAUGAAGACUCCUGGAACUGUUUGCUCGUGCAACUUUUCCCUUACAGAAGGGCCAGACUACACAGCACAAGACAUUUGGUAUUUUUAUUCCUCAGGGUGAAAGGGUGGCUGAACAAAGUACUGUAUAAUUCAUGAUGCAGGAGAAAUACAUAGGCCCUGUUUUAACAGCUGCCUAAAUAUCUAAAAAGGAGGAGAUACUCAUUGUAGAGUGGUAGCAUGAGAAGUAAAAAGCUGAUUCUCCAUGGUGUCGUUCACAGUUGAAUACAAUUCCACCCUGUACACAUGUACAUUUCUUCUUUUCAAAUAAAAGCCUCCUGCUGUAUGUGAGGAAUGCUAUGCCUACUCAGAAUGUCAGUGCAAGUGCCAUCAUCUUUAUCAAGACCCUAGCACACAAUCUCUUUGCAGAGAAGGACAGGAUUAUUCACAUGUGCAGACCUAGUACUACUUAGGUGU
This is a long non-coding RNA of Vidua macroura (Pin-tailed whydah), 947 nucleotides long. RefSeq lists it as uncharacterized. NCBI's taxonomy places the organism in Eukaryota, Metazoa, Chordata, Aves, Passeriformes, Viduidae. The transcript has 3 exons. The record is from RefSeq and is a predicted model, not a curated record.